RNAcentral lists this ribosomal RNA (882 nucleotides) under Bacillus sp. (in: firmicutes). RNAcentral's name for it is "bacterial SSU rRNA". It matches the Rfam family "Bacterial small subunit ribosomal RNA", at positions 63 to 928 of the family's 1533-position model. Lineage: Bacteria; Bacillati; Bacillota; Bacilli; Caryophanales; Bacillaceae. The record is from RNAcentral.
CGAGCGGACAGAAGGGAGCUUGCUCCCGGAUGUUAGCGGCGGACGGGUGAGUAACACGUGGGUAACCUGCCUGUAAGACUGGGAUAACUCCGGGAAACCGGAGCUAAUACCGGAUAGUUCCUUGAACCGCAUGGUUCAAGGAUGAAAGACGGUUUCGGCUGUCACUUACAGAUGGACCCGCGGCGCAUUAGCUAGUUGGUGAGGUAACGGCUCACCAAGGCGACGAUGCGUAGCCGACCUGAGAGGGUGAUCGGCCACACUGGGACUGAGACACGGCCCAGACUCCUACGGGAGGCAGCAGUAGGGAAUCUUCCGCAAUGGACGAAAGUCUGACGGAGCAACGCCGCGUGAGUGAUGAAGGUUUUCGGAUCGUAAAGCUCUGUUGUUAGGGAAGAACAAGUGCAAGAGUAACUGCUUGCACCUUGACGGUACCUAACCAGAAAGCCACGGCUAACUACGUGCCAGCAGCCGCGGUAAUACGUAGGUGGCAAGCGUUGUCCGGAAUUAUUGGGCGUAAAGGGCUCGCAGGCGGUUUCUUAAGUCUGAUGUGAAAGCCCCCGGCUCAACCGGGGAGGGUCAUUGGAAACUGGGAAACUUGAGUGCAGAAGAGGAGAGUGGAAUUCCACGUGUAGCGGUGAAAUGCGUAGAGAUGUGGAGGAACACCAGUGGCGAAGGCGACUCUCUGGUCUGUAACUGACGCUGAGGAGCGAAAGCGUGGGGAGCGAACAGGAUUAGAUACCCUGGUAGUCCACGCCGUAAACGAUGAGUGCUAAGUGUUAGGGGGUUUCCGCCCCUUAGUGCUGCAGCUAACGCAUUAAGCACUCCGCCUGGGAGUACGGUCGCAAGACUGAAACUCAAAGGAAUUGACGGGGGCCCGCACAA